AGUGAACGCUGGCGGUAGGCCUAACACAUGCAAGUCGAACGGCAGCACAGUAAGAGCUUGCUCUUACGGGUGGCGAGUGGCGGACGGGUGAGGAAUACAUCGGAAUCUACUUUUUCGUGGGGGAUAACGUAGGGAAACUUACGCUAAUACCGCAUACGACCUACGGGUGAAAGCAGGGGAUCUUCGGACCUUGCGCGAUUGAAUGAGCCGAUGUCGGAUUAGCUAGUUGGCGGGGUAAAGGCCCACCAAGGCGACGAUCCGUAGCUGGUCUGAGAGGAUGAUCCGCCACCCUGGACAUGGGAACCGGGCCCGCCUCCUACGGGGGGCAGGAGGGGGGAAUAUUGGAAAAGGGGCGAAAGCCUGACCCCGCCAUUCCGCGUGGGUGAAGAAGGCCUUCGGGUUGUAAAGCCCUUUUUUUGGGAAAGAAAAGAAGCAGGUUAAUCCCCCGCUGUUCUGACGGUACCCAAAGAAUAAGCCCCGGCUAACUUCGU
Molecule: ribosomal RNA, 491 nt
Filed under: uncultured bacterium
Lineage: Bacteria
Description: partial 16S ribosomal RNA
Rfam family: Bacterial small subunit ribosomal RNA
Source: RNAcentral